UAUUUUUGGUUGAAGCCUCGCAUGUUUUAUAGUUGAGGCAAUGAAUACAAUGGCAUCAGCUGUUAUGGAUAUAGUCAACACUACUUUGGAUUGGGUGACAUUCGCAUUUGAGGUUCCUUUUGCUCGAGCUUUUGUUUUUGGAGUGCACAUCCAUGGGCAUCUAUUUGUGGAGGGCCUUCUUGUAGUUGUUAUUUUGUUUUUACUUUCCCAGAAAAGU
Camellia sinensis is the source of this 217-nucleotide non-coding RNA. NCBI's taxonomy places the organism in Eukaryota, Viridiplantae, Streptophyta, Magnoliopsida, Ericales, Theaceae. The record is from RefSeq and is a predicted model, not a curated record.